GCCCGGGUUAGCUCAGUUGGUAGAGCACAGACUUUUAAUCUGAGGGCCAUGGGUUCGAGUCCCAUAUCGGGCU
Molecule: transfer RNA, 73 nt
Filed under: Dendronephthya gigantea
Lineage: Eukaryota; Metazoa; Cnidaria; Anthozoa; Malacalcyonacea; Nephtheidae
Description: tRNA-Lys
Rfam family: tRNA
About the family: Transfer RNA (tRNA) molecules are approximately 80 nucleotides in length. Their secondary structure includes four short double-helical elements and three loops (D, anti-codon, and T loops).
Source: RNAcentral